CUUAACUUUACAACCGAGGAUGGGAAUGAUGGAACCAAGUAUCUCGAAACCAUCCCGCCAAUACUCCUGCGCGCGUCAUGUUUAACAGAACAUGAGGUGUGAAGUACAGGUAGAUUCGGCAGAACGAAGGCUGGAGCCAUUCUAAUAGAAAAGGUAUGCCAAUGGAUAUGCCGCGCGGCUGAAAA
RNAcentral lists this non-coding RNA (185 nucleotides) under Paenibacillus macquariensis. The record is from RNAcentral. Lineage: Bacteria; Bacillati; Bacillota; Bacilli; Caryophanales; Paenibacillaceae.